This 686-nucleotide ribosomal RNA is filed under the name Escherichia coli. RNAcentral's name for it is "bacterial LSU rRNA". It matches the Rfam family "Bacterial large subunit ribosomal RNA", at positions 2263 to 2925 of the family's 2925-position model. Lineage: Bacteria; Pseudomonadati; Pseudomonadota; Gammaproteobacteria; Enterobacterales; Enterobacteriaceae. RNAcentral also lists the same sequence under 1 other name. The record is from RNAcentral.
GGGUAGUUUGACUGGGGCGGUCUCCUCCUAAAGAGUAACGGAGGAGCACGAAGGUUGGCUAAUCCUGGUCGGACAUCAGGAGGUUAGUGCAAUGGCAUAAGCCAGCUUGACUGCGAGCGUGACGGCGCGAGCAGGUGCGAAAGCAGGUCAUAGUGAUCCGGUGGUUCUGAAUGGAAGGGCCAUCGCUCAACGGAUAAAAGGUACUCCGGGGAUAACAGGCUGAUACCGCCCAAGAGUUCAUAUCGACGGCGGUGUUUGGCACCUCGAUGUCGGCUCAUCACAUCCUGGGGCUGAAGUAGGUCCCAAGGGUAUGGCUGUUCGCCAUUUAAAGUGGUACGCGAGCUGGGUUUAGAACGUCGUGAGACAGUUCGGUCCCUAUCUGCCGUGGGCGCUGGAGAACUGAGGGGGGCUGCUCCUAGUACGAGAGGACCGGAGUGGACGCAUCACUGGUGUUCGGGUUGUCAUGCCAAUGGCACUGCCCGGUAGCUAAAUGCGGAAGAGAUAAGUGCUGAAAGCAUCUAAGCACGAAACUUGCCCCGAGAUGAGUUCUCCCUGACCCUUUAAGGGUCCUGAAGGAACGUUGAAGACGACGACGUUGAUAGGCCGGGUGUGUAAGCGCAGCGAUGCGUUGAGCUAACCGGUACUAAUGAACCGUGAGGCUUAACCUUACAACGCCGAAGGUGUUU